Molecule: microRNA precursor, 52 nt
Filed under: Marmota monax (woodchuck)
Lineage: Eukaryota; Metazoa; Chordata; Mammalia; Rodentia; Sciuridae
Source: RNAcentral
UGUUUAGUAUAAAUAUGCCCAUUGAAACAUUUAGGGCAUAGUUAUACUAAAA